CGAUAAGCGUCGGGGAGGUGCGAAUACCCUUUGAUCCGACGAUUUCCGAAUGGGGCAACCCACCUUAGAUGACUAGAAAAUCUGUUUUGUUGGAGCAACGCUGGAUGGGUUUACACCCAUACAGACCGCUAGGUCGUUGGCCCAUGUGGGCCGCCCCCGCGGAGCGCCAGCAUUCCUCUGGAAUGCGUACGGCGCGUGAGCGAGAACAGCACAGCUUUCUAGUCAUCAUAAAUAAGGUAUCUAACCUUGAAUACAUAGGGGUUAGAAGCGAACCUGGGGAACUGAAACAUCUAAGUACCCAGAGGAAAGGACAUCAAACGAGACUCCGCUAGUAGUGGCGAGCGAACGCGGACCAGGCCAGUGGCUUUUGUGAAUAAAGUGGAACGAGUUGGAAAACUCGACCGAAGUGGGUGAUAGUCCCGUACACGUAGAAUAGCAGAAGUCCUUGAGUAGGGCGGGACACGUGAAAUCCUGUCUGAACAUGGGUCGACCACGAUCCAAGCCUAAGUACUCGUGCAUGACCGAUAGCGAACCAGUACCGUGAGGGAAAGGUGAAAAGCACCCCGACGAGGGGAGUGAAACAGUACCUGAAACCGGAUGCCUACAAACAGUUGGAGCCCAAGGUUUGUCCUGGGUGACAGCGUACCUUUUGUAUAAUGGGUCAGCGACUUAGUGUAUCGAGCAAGCUUAAGCCGGUAGGUGUAGGCGCAGCGAAAGCGAGUCUGAACAGGGCGUUCAGUUCGAUGCAUUAGACCCGAAACCAAGUGAUCUAGCCAUGAGCAGGUUGAAGGUACGGUAACACGUACUGGAGGACCGAACCCAUAUCUGUUGCAAUAGAUCGGGAUGACUUGUGGCUAGGGGUGAAAGGCCAAUCAAACUUGGAGAUAGCUGGUUCUCCGCGAAAUCUAUUUAGGUAGAGCGUCGACCGAAUACCCCCGGGGGUAGAGCACUGGAUGGGCUAUGGGGACUCACCGUCUUACUGAUCCUAACCAAACUCCGAAUACCGGGGAGUACUAGUCGGCAGACACACGGCGGGUGCUAACGUCCGUCGUGGAGAGGGCAACAACCCUGACCACCAUCUAAGGUCCCUAAGUUAUGGCUAAGUGGGAAAGGAUGUGAGGAUCCCAAAACAACCAGGAUGUUGGCUUAGAAGCAGCCAUCAUUUAAAGAAAGCGUAACAGCUCACUGGUCUAAAUAAGGGUCUUUGCGCCGAAAAUGUACCGGGGCUCAAGCCAUACACCGAAGCUGUGGAUGCACGUAUGUGCGUGGUAGCGGAGCGUUCCGUAAGCCUGUGAAGGGACAGUCGUGAGACAUCCUGGAGGUAUCGGAAGUGAGAAUGCUGACAUGAGUAACGAUAAAGGGAGUGAGAGACUCCCUCGCCGAAAGUCCAAGGGUUCCUGCUUAAAGUUAAUCUGAGCAGGGUUAGCCGGCCCCUAAGGCGAGGCCGAAAGGCGUAGUCGAUGGGAACCACGUUAAUAUUCGUGGGCCUGCAGGUAGUGACGGAUCGCGUGUGUUGUGAGGUCUUAUUGGAUUGAUCUUGCAGCGAAGCGGUUCCAGGAAAUAGCUCCUGCAUAUAGACCGUACCCUAAACCGACACUGGUGGACUGGUA
This 1610-nucleotide ribosomal RNA is filed under the name Brucella suis. RNAcentral's name for it is "bacterial LSU rRNA". It matches the Rfam family "Bacterial large subunit ribosomal RNA", at positions 69 to 1673 of the family's 2925-position model. The record is from RNAcentral. Lineage: Bacteria; Pseudomonadati; Pseudomonadota; Alphaproteobacteria; Hyphomicrobiales; Brucellaceae.